Molecule: ribosomal RNA, 465 nt
Filed under: uncultured bacterium
Lineage: Bacteria
Description: partial 16S ribosomal RNA
Rfam family: Bacterial small subunit ribosomal RNA
Source: RNAcentral
GACGAACGCUGGCGGCGUGCUUAACACAUGCGAGUCGAACGGAAAGGCCCUGCUUGCAGGGUACUCGAGUGGCGAACGGGUGAGUAACACGUGGGUGAUCUGCCCUGCACUUCGGGAUAAGCCUGGGAAACUGGGUCUAAUACCGGAUAGGAGCCAUUUUUAGUGUGAUGGUUGGAAAGUUUUUUCGGUGUAGGAUGAGCUCGCGGCCUAUCAGCUUGUUGGUGGGGUAAUGGCCUACCAAGGCGGCGACGGGUAGCCGGCCUGAGAGGGUGGACGGCCACAUUGGGACUGAGGUACGGCCCAGACUCCUACGGGAGGCAGCAGUGGGGAAUAUUGCACAAUGGGCGCAAGCCUGAUGCAGCGACGCCGCGUGGGGGAUGACGGCCUUCGGGUUGUAAACUCCUUUCGCUAGGGACGAAGCUUUUUGUGACGGUACCUAGAUAAGAAGCACCGGCUAACUACGUG